RNAcentral lists this ribosomal RNA (467 nucleotides) under uncultured bacterium. Its description in RNAcentral is "partial 16S ribosomal RNA". It matches the Rfam family "Bacterial small subunit ribosomal RNA", at positions 28 to 507 of the family's 1533-position model. The record is from RNAcentral.
GAUGAACGCUGGCGGCGUGCUUAACACAUGCAAGUCGAACGGAAAGGCCCAAGCUUGCUUGGGUACUCGAGUGGCGAACGGGUGAGUAACACGUGGGUGAUCUGCCCUGCACUUCGGGAUAAGCCUGGGAAACUGGGUCUAAUACCGGAUAGGACCACUUCUUGGAUGUUGUGGUGGACAGUUUUUUCGGUGUGGGAUGAGCUCGCGGCCUAUCAGCUUGUUGGUGGGGUAAUGACCUACCAAGGCGUCGACGGGUAGCCGGCCUGAGAGGGUGUACGGCCACAUUGGGACUGAGAUACGGCCCAGACUCCUACGGGAGGCAGCAGUGGGGAAUAUUGCACAAUGGGCGCAAGCCUGAUGCAGCGACGCCGCGUGGGGGAUGACGGCCUUCGGGUUGGAAACUCCUUUCGCUAGGGACGAAGCGUUUUGUGACGGUACCUGGAGAAGAAGCACCGGCUAACUACGUG